AUGCAAACGCCGUUGCCGCUCCUCGACGCAUGGUCACCACACGUGCGGACGAAGAUGCGAAGGGAUCGAUCCCGUCCAACUCCCAGAGCGGUGACAUGCUGCACAGCACUCGCCCGCCUGGUGACGCACUUGCCGGCCCAGCAUCGUACUCGCCCAUCCAGCCGCGCGCUCGCCGGCCCCACGCCAUGCUGGCCACCGUGUGACGAGCUCGCCAACCUCGCUCCGUGUUGGCCGCCCUGCGACAAGCUCGCCGGCUCGCCAGCCAUCUCUCACAUCUCCAGCGGCACACACUGCCUCAUCGCAUGCGCUUGUUUCACCUGCAUCGUCAGCAUGGACAGAAGGUAA
Molecule: ribosomal RNA, 345 nt
Filed under: Triticum aestivum (bread wheat)
Lineage: Eukaryota; Viridiplantae; Streptophyta; Magnoliopsida; Poales; Poaceae
Description: partial small subunit ribosomal RNA
Source: RNAcentral